CGGGUUGUAAAGCACGUUUUAGUGGGGAUGAAAAGUUCAGGCUAAUAUCCUUGGGCAUUGACCUAACCCACAGAAAAAGCACCGGCUAACUCUGUGC
RNAcentral lists this ribosomal RNA (97 nucleotides) under uncultured bacterium. RNAcentral's name for it is "partial 16S ribosomal RNA". The record is from RNAcentral.